CCCGCCCNGGAUUCGGCGAGAAGUCCAUUGAACCUUAUCAUUUAGAGGAAGGAGAAGUCGUAACAAGGUUUCCGUAGGUGAACCUGCGGAAGGAUCAUUG
Molecule: ribosomal RNA, 100 nt
Filed under: Catasetum sp. SRR-2011
Lineage: Eukaryota; Viridiplantae; Streptophyta; Magnoliopsida; Asparagales; Orchidaceae
Description: partial 18S ribosomal RNA
Rfam family: Eukaryotic small subunit ribosomal RNA
Source: RNAcentral